CAGUCGCCACGGUAAUACGGAGGGAGCUAGCGUUGUUCGGAAUUACUGGGCGUAAAGCGCACGUAGGCGGCUUUGUAAGUUAGAGGUGAAAGCCUGGAGCUCAACUCCAGAACUGCCUUUAAGACUGCAUCGCUUGAAUCCAGGAGAGGUGAGUGGAAUUCCGAGUGUAGAGGUGAAAUUCGUAGAUAUUCGGAAGAACACCAGUGGCGAAGGCGGCUCACUGGACUGGUAUUGACGCUGAGGUGCGAAAGCGUGGGGAGCAAACAGGAUUAGAUACCCCCGUAGUCCCUGUCUCUUAUAC
RNAcentral lists this ribosomal RNA (301 nucleotides) under uncultured bacterium. Its description in RNAcentral is "partial 16S ribosomal RNA". It matches the Rfam family "Bacterial small subunit ribosomal RNA", at positions 509 to 807 of the family's 1533-position model. The record is from RNAcentral.